UUUACUGUUUGGCUUAUAAGAGUUAUCAAAUAUCACUUUGAUUAAAUUAGAGUGCUUAAAGCAAGUGUGUUACUUGGAUAUAAAUGCAUGGAAUGAUGGAAUAUGUUGUUGUUCUAUUUGUUGGUUUUUGAACGAUGAAAUGAUUGAAAGGAACUGUUGGGGGCAUUCGUAUUGUUGUGAGAGAGGUGAAAUUCUUAGACCACAGCAAGACGAACUACUGCGAAAGCAUUUGCCAAGAAUGUUUUCAUUGAUCAAGAACGAAAGUUAGAGGUUCGAAGGCGAUCAGAUACCGCCCUAGUUCUAACCAUAAACUAUGCCAACUAGCAAUUUGCUUACGUAUUUUUUAUGACUAAGUGAGAGCCACGGGAAACCAAAGUAGGUUAUG
RNAcentral lists this ribosomal RNA (385 nucleotides) under Nerocila depressa. RNAcentral describes it as "SSU rRNA". It matches the Rfam family "Eukaryotic small subunit ribosomal RNA", at positions 720 to 1113 of the family's 1831-position model. Lineage: Eukaryota; Metazoa; Arthropoda; Malacostraca; Isopoda; Cymothoidae. The record is from RNAcentral.